GAAGGUGUGCUGUGAGGCAUGCUGGAGGUAUCAGAAGUGCGAAUGCUGACAUAAGUAACGAUAAAGCGGGUGAAAAGCCCGCUCGCCGGAAGACCAAGGGUUCCUGUCCAACGUUAAUCGGGGCAGGGUGAGUCGACCCCUAAGGCGAGGCCGAAAGGCGUAGUCGAUGGGAAACAGGUUAAUAUUCCUGUACUUGGUGUUACUGCGAAGGGGGGACGGAGAAGGCUAUGUUGGCCGGGCGACGGUUGUCCCGGUUUAAGCGUGUAGGCUGGUUUUCCAGGCAAAUCCGGAAAAUCAAGGCUGAGGCGUGAUGACGAGGCACUACGGUGCUGAAGCAACAAAUGCCCUGCUUCCAGGAAAAGCCUCUAAGCAUCAGGUAACAUCAAAUCGUACCCCAAACCGACACAGGUGGUCAGGUAGAGAAUACCAAGGCGCUUGAGAGAACUCGGGUGAAGGAACUAGGCAAAAUGGUGCCGUAACUUCGGGAGAAGGCACGCUGAUAUGUAGGUGAAGUCCCUCGCGGAUGGAGCUGAAAUCAGUCGAAGAUACCAGCUGGCUGCAACUGUUUAUUAAAAACACAGCACUGUGCAAACACGAAAGUGGACGUAUACGGUGUGACGCCUGCCCGGUGCCGGAAGGUUAAUUGAUGGGGUUAGCCGCAAGGCGAAGCUCUUGAUCGAAGCCCCGGUAAACGGCGGCCGUAACUAUAACGGUCCUAAGGUAGCGAAAUUCCUUGUCGGGUAAGUUCCGACCUGCACGAAUGGCGUAAUGAUGGCCAGGCUGUCUCCACCCGAGACUCAGUGAAAUUGAACUCGCUGUGAAGAUGCAGUGUACCCGCGGCAAGACGGAAAGACCCCGUGAACCUUUACUAUAGCUUGACACUGAACAUUGAGCCUUGAUGUGUAGGAUAGGUGGGAGGCUUAGAAGUGUGGACGCCAGUCUGCAUGGAGCCGACCUUGAAAUACCACCCUUUAAUGUUUGAUGUUCUAACGUUGACCCGUAAUCCGGGUUGCGGACAGUGUCUGGUGGGUAGUUUGACUGGGGCGGUCUCCUCCUAAAGAGUAACGGAGGAGCACGAAGGUUGGCUAAUCCUGGUCGGACAUCAGGAGGUUAGUGCAAUGGCAUAAGCCAGCUUGACUGCGAGCGUGACGGCGCGAGCAGGUGCGAAAGCAGGUCAUAGUGAUCCGGUGGUUCUGAAUGGAAGGGCCAUCGCUCAACGGAUAAAAGGUACUCCGGGGAUAACAGGCUGAUACCGCCCAAGAGUUCAUAUCGACGGCGGUGUUUGGCACCUCGAUGUCGGCUCAUCACAUCCUGGGGCUGAAGUAGGUCCCAAGGGUAUGGCUGUUCGCCAUUUAAAGUGGUACGCGAGCUGGGUUUAGAACGUCGUGAGACAGUUCGGUCCCUAUCUGCCGUGGGCGCUGGAGAACUGAGGGGGGCUGCUCCUAGUACGAGAGGACCGGAGUGGACGCAUCACUGGUGUUCGGGUUGUCAUGCCAAUGGCACUGCCCGGUAGCUAAAUGCGGAAGAGAUAAGUGCUGAAAGCAUCUAAGCACGAAACUUGCCCCGAGAUGAGUUCUCCCUGACUCCUUGAGAGUCCUGAAGGAACGUUGAAGACGACGACGUUGAUAGGCCGGGUGUGUAAGCGCAGCGAUGCGUUGAGCUAACCGGUACUAAUGAACCGUGAGGCUUAACC
RNAcentral lists this ribosomal RNA (1693 nucleotides) under Escherichia coli. RNAcentral describes it as "bacterial LSU rRNA". It matches the Rfam family "Bacterial large subunit ribosomal RNA", at positions 1252 to 2925 of the family's 2925-position model. Lineage: Bacteria; Pseudomonadati; Pseudomonadota; Gammaproteobacteria; Enterobacterales; Enterobacteriaceae. The record is from RNAcentral.